CCUACGGGUGGCAGCAGUGGGGAAUAUUGGACAAUGGGGGCAACCCUGAUCCAGCCAUGCCGCGUGUGUGAAGAAGGCCCUCGGGUUGUAAAGCACUUUCAGUGAGGAAGAACGCCUGGUGGUUAAUACCCAUCAGGAAAGACAUCACUCACAGAAGAAGCACCGGCUAACUCCGUGCCAGCAGCCGCGGUAAUACGGAGGGUGCGAGCGUUAAUCGGAUUUACUGGGCGUAAAGCGCGCGUAGGUGGCUUGAUAAGCCGGUUGUGAAAGCCCCGGGCUCAACCUGGGAACGGCAUCCGGAACUGUCAAGCUAGAGUGCAGGAGAGGAAGGUAGAAUUCCCGGUGUAGCGGUGAAAUGCGUAGAGAUCGGGAGGAAUACCAGUGGCGAAGGCGGCCUUCUGGACUGACACUGACACUGAGGUGCGAAAGCGUGGGUAGCAAACAGGAUUAGAUACCCCAGUAGUC
RNAcentral lists this ribosomal RNA (465 nucleotides) under Vreelandella stevensii. RNAcentral describes it as "partial 16S ribosomal RNA". It matches the Rfam family "Bacterial small subunit ribosomal RNA", at positions 338 to 795 of the family's 1533-position model. The record is from RNAcentral. Lineage: Bacteria; Pseudomonadati; Pseudomonadota; Gammaproteobacteria; Oceanospirillales; Halomonadaceae.